AUGAGCCGAUCGGGGCAGCCGCCGGAUCUGAAGAAUUACUCUGAUAGGCAUUUAUUCAAGCUGAAUGCGAACCGUGUUGUCAUUGGCACGCUUCGUGGAUUUGAUCAGUUCAUGAAUUUGGUGGUGGAUAACACUGUGGAGGUCAAUGGAGAUGAGAAGACCGACAUAGGGAUGGUGGUUCUGAGAGGAAAUAGUGUGGUGAUGAUUGAAGCCCUUGAACCAAUUGCCAGGUCUCAGUGA
Molecule: ribosomal RNA, 240 nt
Filed under: Triticum aestivum (bread wheat)
Lineage: Eukaryota; Viridiplantae; Streptophyta; Magnoliopsida; Poales; Poaceae
Description: partial small subunit ribosomal RNA
Source: RNAcentral